This 1185-nucleotide long non-coding RNA is filed under the name Equus caballus (horse). RNAcentral's name for it is "lncRNA (ENSECAG00000049863.1)". The record is from RNAcentral. Lineage: Eukaryota; Metazoa; Chordata; Mammalia; Perissodactyla; Equidae.
CUACAUGCCCAGAAACUGAUGACUGGAUAAAGAAGAUAUGGUAUAUAUACACAAUGGAAUACUACUCAGCCAUAAAAAAAGACAAAAUUGGCCCAUUCGCAGCAACGUGGAUGGACCUCGAGGGUAUUAUGUUAAGCAAAAUAAGCCAGUCAGAGAAAGACGAACUCUAUAUGACUCCACUCAUAGGUGGAAGUUAACAUAUUGACAAGGAGAUCUGAUUGGUGGUUACCAGGGAAAAGGGGGAGGGUGGGGGGAGGGCACAAAGGGGGAAGUGGUGUACCCACAACAUGACUAACAAUAAUGUACAACUGAAAUCUCACAAGGUUGUAAUCUAUCAUAACAUUAAUAAAAAAAAAAAGAUAACAAAAAAAAUAAAAGAGCUCAUUCUUUAGUCAAGAGCAAAACUACCAAGAUUUAUCCUGAUAGUAGAUACACUUUUGGAGUAACUGAUAAUUUUGGAAUGUUGUGGAAACAAUGUGGCUUCCUUACUUCCAGUGAAAAUAAAAUAAAAAAUGGCCCCUCUGUUCAGGAAUUAUUGGAUGCUAUACUUUUACCUGCUGCUUUACAUAUUAUUAAGAUCCUGGGGCAUUUCUAAACUUGACUCUUUAAAAGCUAAAGGAAAUCACCUUGCUGAUACUUCCACAAGGAACGCUACUCUUAAAGGAACCAACCACAGCCAAACCUAUGUCAUGGUCCAAAGGGCUAUUAUCCUAAAUGAUAACUUAGAAAAACUGGCUAGAGAAGCCCAACAAUUGGCCUCAGAAAACAAAAAACAAGAGUGGAAAUUCAACAAUUGUUGGUUUGAUAAAAAGAGAAAGCUCUGGUUUGGACCAAAUAACAACCCAGCCCUACCAGAGACUCUAAAAUUCCCACUCCUAACCACUGUACAUGCAUUUAACCGUUGGUCUACUGACAAAACGUUAGCACUCAUGAAUCAAUAUUGGUGGGGAAAUAUUAAUAAUGCCACAAAAGUGCCGAUCUCUCUCGUCCCACUUGUCCAAAAUACAAUCCAGGAAAACCUCGUUUGUACUGCUCCUGGACAUUUUAAGCUGCCUACUAGACCAUUUGAAGUCUGGCAAAUGGAUUUUACACAACUUCUCCUGUCUCAUGGAUAUAAAUAUGUUUUAGUCAUGGUCUGUAUGUUUUCUCACUGGACAGAAGCCUUCCCACGCAGACAGGCUACUG